AUUUAAGUUAGAAAAACUACUAUCCUUCAAAGAUAGCCUCCAUGUAAUAACAGGUAGUG
RNAcentral lists this transfer RNA (59 nucleotides) under Trachelipus rathkii. RNAcentral describes it as "tRNA-Trp". Lineage: Eukaryota; Metazoa; Arthropoda; Malacostraca; Isopoda; Trachelipodidae. The record is from RNAcentral.